RNAcentral lists this ribosomal RNA (439 nucleotides) under uncultured Prevotella sp. RNAcentral describes it as "bacterial SSU rRNA". It matches the Rfam family "Bacterial small subunit ribosomal RNA", at positions 338 to 791 of the family's 1533-position model. The record is from RNAcentral. Lineage: Bacteria; Pseudomonadati; Bacteroidota; Bacteroidia; Bacteroidales; Prevotellaceae.
CCUACGGGAGGCAGCAGUGGGGAAUAUUGGACAAUGGGGGCAACCCUGAUCCAGCAAUUCUGUGUGCACGAAGACGGUUUUCGGAUUGUAAAGUGCUUUCAGCAGGGAAGAAGGAAGUGACGGUACCUGCAGAAGAAGCGACGGCUAAAUACGUGCCAGCAGCCGCGGUAAUACGUAUGUCGCGAGCGUUAUCCGGAAUUAUUGGGCAUAAAGGGCAUCUAGGCGGCCUUUCAAGUCAGGGGUGAAAACCUGCGGCUCAACCGCAGGCCUGCCUUUGAAACUGAUAGGCUGGAGUACCGGAGAGGUGGACGGAACUGCACGAGUAGAGGUGAAAUUCGUAGAUAUGUGCAGGAAUGCCGAUGAUGAAGAUAGUUCACUGGACGGUAACUGACGCUGAAGUGCGAAAGCCGGGGGAGCGAACAGGAUUAGAUACCCCAGU